GCAUCAAGCCUCAUGAACCUAUGAUUAAUCAUAUCUCUAAGGUCUAUGAGCUGAAGGGAAUUAUCAUGGCACUAGAGAAAGAGAAUGCGGAUCUCAAAUCUAGUCUUGGUAAGAUGUCAUUGGAUAAGGAGACCUUAAAGUUCAACCUGAAUCAGAAGAGAGAUAGAACACUUCAAGCAGAAAAUGGGGUGCAAGCUAAGUUGCACAAAAGAAGAAAAGUGGAUGAAGCACUAAAAGGAACUUGUGCUAGUUUGUUAGCAAAAAAGAAUAAGCUAGAAGAAAUUCAAUAUUAGGCUUGUAAAGUGGAUCUUAACUACAAAAAGAAAAUCAAGAAACUUCAAGACUAACUGGAAGCUUGCAAGAAAGGGUUGAAAGAUGAACAAAGUCGUGUCAAACAACUAGAGGUUACUCUUCAUCAGUGCUAGAGUGAGUUAGAUAAGAGGUUUGAAGAGAUUCGCGGGCUAAAGGAUCAAGCACACAAAAAUAUGGAGAGCACUAACCUACUCAAAUAAGAGAAUGCUAGUUGGGAAAGAUACAAUGGACACCUUCAAAGGCUCCUAGACUAGAAGGAGACAUUUUUGAGAGAUCUUCUAGAUGGACCUGAUCACACUUUGCUGCACAACCUUCUUAAGGACGCGGAAUAUUGGAGGGAAAGGCAUGCAUGCCUAACCCAAUUUGCUGAACAUGCCAUGGAAGACUUACCAGAAUUGUUGAAAGAAGCUUUUGUUGUAGUAUUUCCGCAUAACGUCCCUUGGGUUGUAUUUCAUUUCAUUUCUGUUUGUAGGGUGGUAUUUGAUAGGUUUAAAGUUGAGCUUAUUGUAGCCUGUCAGGCAGGCUCUUGAUGUGUAUUUGUACUCCACUUUCUGAUAUUGAAUAAAAGAGUCUCUCUCUUUAUGCUUUAUGUCUAUUUAUGUUGAUAAACAAAACUCAAGGAUUCCUUGGAAUUUUUUCUUUACAAAAAUGAAUAUAUAUGCACAUGUCAAAACUUUUUGCAUGCAUUUAUUUGCUUAAGCCUCCAGAGAACAAAAUGCUUACUCUCUCCAUCUUUCUAUAGCAACUACGAUGACUCGUCAUCGCUAUUAUACUCGUGCAAAAAAAUCCAAAUGCGUGGCUGAUUUUGAAAUCGACAAUGUUGUUGUUAAGGAAACCUUGGCUCAGGUCCAAGUAGAGAUGAACCUCUUCCGAGGUAAUAUGGUGACCAUUAUGGAAUACCUCCAAACUCAUUGGGCUUCUAUCUUUGCCAACCCUGCUUCCAUUUUCGUCACCAGUGUUGUUGUGGUGACCACUAUUGGUGAUGUCGUUGCCACUAUCAAAACUCAUGUGGAGACGGUGGUACCAACUACUGUGAAUCAGCCUUUGUUUACUUAUGCUUCUAAUAGGCUUGUUGUUGCCUGCCCAUGGGGAAUGCCCCCAAACUUCACUGCUCAUUUUGCUAAUGGGGGUGCCUUUAUUCCUCAUUUAGCUUUUAUCGCUCGUACUGCUGCUGGGAAUUUUGUUUUCCCAUGGGGUGUGCCUAUGGUCCAGACUCCUCAAACGAUUGAUGCUGCCAACUCUAAGAACCACCAAGGUCAGGUUUUGACAAUGAAGUAGAGUACUGAGGCCCCCGCCUCUAUUUUCAUAUUCCUUCCCAGGAAGUUUAUCUUGCAAAUCUGAAUCACUUACAAGCUGCUCUGUUUGCUUACUCUGGGGAAACUUUUGUUCUGAUACUAUCAUAUGCAUCUGCCAACCCUGCACUCAUGUACGUGCAGGCUAGGGAACCUCAGGCCCCUAAUGCUCAAGAUGGAUGGUAGUUCCUUCAUAUGAUGCACGAUGCUUCCCAAAUAGUGCUUCCCAGUUUCUCUUAUCCACUGCAGAUGUUGUUUACUCCCCAAAUUGUGCAUGCUCAGGAGUUUGCUCAAGACACCUCCCGACCAGCCAGCCAGGUCGUCGUUCCUACUGCUAGUCUGUCAGGCCGGCAGACUACCAAUUAUUGGAUGAUAGAAGAAUGGUUAUCGAAGGUUUCUAUGCCUUCGGCAUAAACGCAAGAGAUUUAUGCUUGGUUCCAAAUGUGGUACUCCCUCAUAAGUUCAAAGUACCAGAUUUACCAAUAUAUAAUGGAUUAAGUUAUCCUCGAAGCCACAUUACAAUGUAUUGCAGGAAAAUGGCAUCGUAUGUUGACAAUGAUGAUCUGCUAAUCCACUGUUUCCAAGAUAGUCUGUCAGGGGCUUCCUUGGACUAGUACAUGGUCUUAGAGCGUACAAAGAUUAGAUCCUAGAGAGAUUUAUCUGAAGCGUUCUUAAAGCAGUAUAAGUACAACCUCGAUAUGACACCGACAAGAUUGCAGCUACAUAAUCAGUCACAGAGGUCCAACAAGACUUUCAAAGAGUAUGCUCAAUUUUAGCGUGAAAUGGCUUAUAGGGUCAGAUCAACUUUGUCGGACAAUGAACUUGUUGACAUCUUCAUUGGUACGCUUCAAGGGUUGUACUUUGAGAAAAUGAUUGUCCAUUCUUCCACCAACUUCCCAGACAUUGUGACCAUUAGUGAACGUGUCGAAAAUGGGGUUAAAUCGGGAAAGAUCGUAGGUACCAUCGCUCAGCAAACCACAAAUAAGAAGUUGUAUGAGGGCUUUACAAAAAAGAAAGAAGGGGAGAUAAAUGUUUUAACGGUAAAUGUCCACACCCAAUAUCAAUUUCCUAUGGCUCCCAUGCCAUAUUAUCCAUACCCGUAUGUUUCCGCCACUCAGUAUCAACAACUUCCGCGUCAGUACCAACCAUAGAAUCGCAAUCAACAAACAACACCGAAUCAGAAUGCUUAGAAUCAAUAGAACACUUGUGACAAUAAGGGCCAAGGUCAAGGCCGAAAUAACAGGAAUAAUUAUGGUAAACAUCCUGAUUUUGAUCAGAUCCCUGUACCAUAUGCUGAAUUGGUGUCAUAUCUGAUCCAUGUAGGGGCUAUUAUGCCAAGGGAAAUCCCACCAUCCAUUCCUCCUUAUCAUCCAAGGCCUAAUUAUAAUGCCUUGUGCGCCUUCCAUGUUGGGUAUGUAGGACACUCCACUGAAGAUUGUUGGCCGCUCAAAAAUAAAAUCCAAUAGUUAAUUAACCAGAAGGUUUUGUCUUUCUCAGAAUAAAAUCCUAAUGUGAAAAGAAACCCCUUUCUUAAUCACGGUGACCCAGCAGUCAGUGUUGUAAUUGAAGAAGAGAUUGCAGAAUCCGUCAAGACAGUUGAUGGUGUGAAGACUCUGAUGUCGGUAGUGUUAAAAAAUCUUGAAAAUUUUGAGUUUCUGGUUGGUAUUCAUGAAGAUUUUGUUGUGUGUAAAAUCUGAUCUGGAUAGUUAUGGCAAUCUGAAGGGCUGUGUGCAAGAGUUGAUGAAUCAAAGGUUGAUAUAGUUCUCCAGAUCUAAAGUAGUUGAAGAGAUUGAAGUGAUUGAGCCUAUAACCAUUGUGUACAGGAAGAAGAAGAACGAAGCUCCUCCCAAGAGCAUUCAAUUGAUCCAUAUAUGUGUUCCUAGUCCAUUCUCGUAUCAGAAUAUCAAGGCAGUACCUUGGAAGUAUGAAACGACUGCAUAUGUGGGUGGAAAAGAAAUUAAAAUCUCUGACACUGAAAUUGUUAAUAUAACUAGAACGGGAGGCAUGACUCGUAGUGGUUGUGUAUUCACUCCAAAAUACACUCCUAGAGUGUCUCCAUCACCCACAGUUGUCCUGCCUAAAGAGAAGGUCCUUCUUAGUCCUCCUCUGCAGGCAGGGGCAUCUAUACCCGACAUGUUUAUCGUGACAACUGUUCCAGCAUUAACAAAGAUUAUUCCCGAUAAAGCUGCAUAAUCUAAAACUUCCAAGGGUAAGGGGCAGAUGGUUAAAGAUGAAUAGGUUGAAGGUCACAAGAAGAGUAUCUCUUUUGAGGAAGGACAAGAACUCCUCAAAUUGAUCGAGAAGAGUUUCUUCAAUAUUGUUGAUCAGUUGGGUAAGACUCCUUCCAAAAUCUCCAUUUUUUCUUUACUUCUGAGUUCUGAUGCUCACCGUAAAGCACUGUUAAAAGUCCUGAAUGAUGCUCAUGUGAUGCACGAUAUCACGGUCGAUCAAUUUGAUGACGUGUGUAAGACCCCAAUUUUGACCCUAAGAUCCCUCAUGAUAUACCAUCAUAUGCAUUGGCAUUGGGAUCACACCUUGACAUCCUCCUUCCCCCUCAUUCAUUGGGUUUGCAUUGAGAGAGAUCACCAAGCACCAUUUAAUUGUAUCAUACUUUGUAUUUUCUCAUUUUUACUAACCAAAAUACCAAAAAUAUGUCUUUGCAUAAUCUAACUCUUUUGUAGGUAGAGUACAUGCUCACCUUUGGUCUAUCAAGCUCACAUCUAGGGUUUAAGACCCUCAGUGCAAGGAGUUCAAUCAAGAAUUGGUAUACUAUGGCUCUAGGCAUCAUAUAUGGAUCCCCAUGAGAAUCACAUGUUAUUUUGAUCAAGAACUCAUCAAGAGUUUGGAAUUGUUUUGUAGUGGAAACACUAGUUCAUAUGGGUAUCUUGUGUAACUUCUUCAACAAUUGAUCAAAGAUUUCAAGGGAUACUUCAAAUUUCUUCAUAUUAUGAAUAUAUGAUUUCCCAUGAGUCCCUAAAGUUAAGAGAAUUGCAAGUUAGCAAGUUGGUUGAUGGUGGUUGACUAGAGGAAUUCAACUAAUCAAAAUUGGGGUUCCCUAGACCCUAUCUCCUACAAUAUUUGUCAUAUGAAAAUGAUUCCAAAAGAAACGUUACUGUAAGUGACAUUACAAACAACUUUCAUGUUGAGGUCUAGAGCUAGUUUUUCUUGGAAAGUCAUCUUUUAUGGUGAAAGAUUAUAGGUCAUUUUGUCUAAACCCUAAUUUGGAGGUCAACUUCCCAAGGUCAUAACUUGCUCAAUUAUUAUGAGAUGAAAGAUUUCCAAGUUUCACAAUCAAAUUCAAUAUGUCUACUUCAACUUUGAUGUUUGGAGGAAGAGCAAAUUCAACUUUUAUGAGCAUGUGAUAUGAGGAUACAUUAUAGGUCAUUUUGGACCAAUACCAUUGAACAAGUGAUUUUCCUCAACUUCAAAAAUGCAUACCUCCUUCAUAUCAAAUCCAAAUGAGGUAAAACUUAUAACCAUUUUGAAGUACUUUGAAAUAGAUACAACUUUGAUGAAGGAACUUCUCUCAUUUGAAACUCACACAAAAAGUUAGCCAAGGUGGAAUAAGUGAACAUAUGGCGUGACACUUAGAAAAAAAUUUGAUAUGUUAAAAUUUCCAAACUUCCACCUCAAAUUUCAUCAUUAUACAAGCUUCAAAUGGAUAAGUGUUCAACAUUAAAGUUGUUCCUAUUGAUCUAACCUUUCCAAAAAGUCCAAUUUCAUCCAUUUUGGACAAGAUUUGAAUGGGCUGCACAUGGCUUGAACAUUGUAUCAUCAUUUGGCAAAAUCAAACUUCAAACUUCCAUGUACAUUUGUCUUGCAUUCCAAGUUGAUUUUAGACUUGCUCACACUCAAUUAUGGAUCAAAUGGAAUGAUCUCAUGGGCAUGUACACGUCCAUGCACACAUGCAUCACUCAUUGCCAAUUUUGGAAACUCAAUUGUAAGGUGCAAAUAUCAUGUGAUUCAGCUAUAAAUAGAGGCUCAUAUGCUCAGAAUUAAGGACUCCUUCGCGCGAGCUUUGAUCCCAAACAUAAAACCCUUCCAUUUGAUAGGAUAAUCCUGACAAUUUCCUUUGGAAAUUGAGUUUGAAUCUCACUGUUUUGAGAUUCAAAACUCCAGGGAUCCAAGACCUUUUGUACAUUUUAAUCUACUUCUGCAAGCAUCCUAAGAAAUAUCAAGCACAAGCCAAAGCAAGAACAAGUGAAUCCAGACCUGCAUUGAAGGUAUUUUCCAGAAAAUUUCAUCUCUUCGAUUCUCACUCAAUUCUCCAUAAUUCUCUUGGAUCCUUGGUAGUCUGAAGUCCUAGCAAUAUAGGCAACAAGAUUGAGUUGCUUUGAGGUCAAAUUGAAGCAACUCAGAUCAUGCACCUCAAAUUUCAACUCCUUGUAUCUCUCAAUAUACUUGGAGUUGGGAUAAAUUGAGGCCAGAUUCGUGCUCAGUGCCAUUUUCACUUUAAAAUCAUGUCCUCUAUUUUUAUUUUAGUGAAGGUUAUGAUUGGACCAGUCCGGCGAGGCUCGCCUGAGAAGGAGACCGGAGAUUUGCUCUGGUGGUGAGUUAGCAAGGUCCAGAGCCACAUGAUCUGUUUGAUUUGUUCUAAUCACGAGUGUUGGUUUGAAUUACCAAGUUUGUGGCGCGCUGACUAGAGUCCACAAUGGAUUGCGCGUUUGUGGCCACUUGAUUUACCACCUCAAUUAAUGAAAUUUUUCUACAAGGUCCUUUAACCUUGUUUGACCUAUGAUAAAUCUCAUCGUCAUUUCUUUGGUGUCAAUUUAAUGCAUAUUUUAGUUGAUUUUAAUUGAAUAAAUGUCAAAUAAAUUGUGUUGAGCUUCUAUUAUUGACUUAUUGAGUUUGACUUGUGUUGUUGGGCCUUGGUCAAGGUUGAUUUUACUUUUCUAAGUUAAGAUCAUUGGAUUUAGGGGAAUGAUGAAAUGUACAUUUCAUCUCCCAAAAUGAAUGAAUGAUCUUAAUUUGGUAAAAGUCCUUGUUUUACCAAUUUGUGUUGAUUUCAUUCCCCCUCCCUCUUGAUCUCAUUACUCUUCUUUAUUCAUUCAUGUCAUGGACCUAUGAUAUCUCUAUAUCCUAAGGCUAGUUGAUUGCAAAAUCAACAUGAGUAUGGAUGAGAUUAGAUCCACCACACUUUUGCAUAUUCUUUUUGCGUGUGGUAUCUUUCGUGAGCAUAGUCCAUUAUAUUAUGUCUCUAACAUGCAUUAACACCAAACUUCUAUUGCCUGGUCUCAAAUAGUUGUGAAUUCUGCAUAAGUCCAAUUACGAUUGCUUAACAUAACGCUAAAUUUGUGACACAAAAGGCAUAGCAUUCUAGUAAGUAAGAUUGUAAGUCUCCCCUCUUUCAUGGUAUUGUAUGGAAACUUGGCCUUUUUUUCCUUCCUUUGGAAGAUGUCUUGGUUCAAGGAUCCAUGCAUGUGAAUAGUGGGUUGAGUGUUCUCCAAAGAAUGACUUAAACAAUACAAAGCAAAAGCAAUACUAACUUCUAAUCAACUAACAACUAACCUUUAAUUUCAAGCCAUUUACUUUUAUGCACUUUAAUUUCAAGCUUUAUUCAUUUGCCAUUAUUCAUACCGUUCAAUUUAUUUACUUUAAUGCCAUUUUCAAUUUUCCACUUGGGCCAUAAUUUGUGAUAUAUUGUGUUUGUAUAUACUUGUUUGUUUGUAUGGUCUUUUGACCUUAAUGUACAUAAUAAAAACAAAAACCCUAAAAGACAUUUGUGCGGACUGUUGGAUUUGAUCUGAGACAAUGGACUUAGAAUUAGGAAACACUCCCUAUGCAAAAGGACUUGUCCAAUGCCAACUUUCAUGAAACCAAGUGCUUGUGAAGUGAAUUUUCAACUGAAGCAAGUAUUGUGAUCCCAUCUGAGUUCAUCUGUUACAUGGUCUUAUUGAAGCUGUUACUUUGAACCUGUGUCUAAUGCCUACUUUUGGAAGUCAUCUGAUGCAUGGGAAAUUUUGAAGAAGAUCAUGGAGUUGCUAAGCUUGGAUGGGGCUAUCUUUAUUUGAUGCCUUGAUCUUCAUCUUUCUAUUUGUGUAUUGAUAUUGCUUGAUUCUAAAGUCCAAGGGAAAUUUGGGUUUCUAUAUGACAUUCUUGUCUAUUGGAUUGCAGCCCAUUGGUUAGAUAUUUUCAACUCUUAACUUUUAAAUUUGUGCUUAGGAUUAGUAUCUUCAUCUCUCCCCCAUUUAUUUAAUUUCAAAUCUCUCUCUACUUUCAAAAAUCUUCUUUGCUAGUGUUUGUUUUCUAAACUUAUACCAUUUUGCAAAUUAGAAACUUUGGCCUUAUGCCAUUGCAUUUUUAAAACUCUUUUCUUUGUCAAAUUUGUAAAUGAACUUAACUAUACUUGACUUAAAAUUUCAAAAGCGAAAAAGAACUAACACUCAUUCCAACCAUUUUUAGGCCUCUUGUGCCUUUGUUAAACUUAAAUUUUGUUAAAAGAAAUCCACUCACUUUGAAAUUGAUACCACAAACUACGAGGUUUUGAUCCCUCAUUUUAUGUUGGUACGUAGGCAUAAGUCUGAAGGUCUUAUCAAACACAAAAAUACAAUUAAUGAAUUAUUUUCUCAUCCCCCCACUCUAUUUAUUGCAAACAUCAUUUGGUACAAAAACACAUAUGCACACAAGAAAGGGCUCCCUAGGAGUACCUAGGACACUUUGGGUGCUAACACCUUCCCUCUGUGUAACCAACCCCCUUACCUGUAAUCUCUGGCAUUUUAUUAGUUUUGAUAGGGUGCUAACACCUUCCCUCUGUGUAACCAACCCCCUUACCUGUAAUCUCUGGCAUUUUAUUAGUUUUGAUUUGAAAAUUUCUUAUUUUUGGGUUUUGUUCGUACUUUUCCCUUUUCCCUUGGAAACGAUAAAAGCGCGAUGGCGACUCUGGUUUUAUUGACGUCUAGCUUAUCUAUAGCUUGAUGGUCAUGAAUUUACCGCCAUAGAAAUUAAGUGGCGACUCUACUGGGGAGUAGUCUCCAGUGGGUUUAGCCUACUUUUUCGUGUGUAUAUAAUUGUAUAUUUUGAUGUAUGUAUAUUUGUUUGUGUGAUAUAAUGUACUUGUUGUGCUUGGUGAUCUCUGAGUGGUGAAAUAAGUUCUAACAUGGACUUGAGUGAAAUUACGAUAAGAGGAUGGUAUAGUCAUGUUCGACUUGUGUGGAGUAGUCCUUAACAAGUUGGAUUGAGACCCAUCUACUCAGUGGAUACCCUUUUGGAGUUAUGAAUGUUACACAAGUUAUUUGUGGUUAGGCAUUACUUCCUCUGAUUUGGGGUCCGAGAAGUUGAGGACCGUAGAACAUUUAACCCAUCUUGGCCUAUUUAAGACGUAGUGCGGAGACUGUUCAAAUGUAGACUUGAUAAUAGUUGUCACGCGAUACUACACUCAGACGAGUUUCUCUUGAGAUAUUAUGGGUUGAUGAGUCAGUCAUCCUAACUUGUAAUAUCCGAUAGAUGGAAUUAAGACUCUGGGAACUUUUUAGAACAUGAUCUACAGGUUCUUAUCCUUAGUACACUCCUUUGGGAUGGUUCUUACCCAGACUCCAUGCUCGUGACUCACAACAAACCCUUUGAUUCUUGGUUGAUCCAAUCAAGUCUUGUCAAUAUCAAUGGAACUUAGGUGUUGAUAAGGCGAAAAACAUAAUCCACUAAAAUGGAUGAUUGAUCUUGACAAUGCCUUGAUUCAUCCCUUGACCUUUGUUUGGUUUCCUUGUGUGUGAUCCCUUAUUUGUGAUUGUUGCAUUCAUGCAUUCAUGCGCAUCAUAACAUUCAUCACACGAAAAAUAAUUUCAAGAAACUGAGGUCUUAUUUGUAACUAUUUUCAGACCAUGGAUUGUGGACGUAGGAACACUAAGAAGUACAGUUUUAGAAGUCCGGAUUUGAAAGAGUUAAGGAAGGUAUCAUCUUUUGUAUUAGGUCUCUUGGACUUCAAGCUACGUCAUGGGAAGCUUCUAUCUAUUUUGUGUGCUGAUGUGGUUGAAGGAAUUUUGAGUGUGUUGGUUCAGUUAUAUGACCCUCUCUACCGUUGCUUCACUUUUCCUGAUUAUCAGCUUGUGUCUACGUUGGAGGAGUAUUCCCGUCUGUUGGGAAUACUUGUUUCUGACAUAGUGCCUUUUAGUGGAUUGGAAGAGAUUCCCAGAUCUCAUCUUAUAGCUGAAGCUCUUCAUCUGAAGAAGUCUGAGAUAGAGGCUCAUUGGGUGAAGAAAGUAGGAUUAUUUGGGUUGACUUCUGAUUUCCUCAUCAAGGAAGCUACUGCCUUUGCUCAAGCCGGUAGUGUGGACGCUUUUGAAACCAUCUUUGUGCUGCUCAUCUAUGGAUUAGCUUUGUUCCCUAACAUUGACGGUUUUGUUUAUGUUAACGUCAUUAGAAUAUUCUUGAUUGGGAAUCAUGUGCCUACUCUUUUGGGUGAUAUGUACUUAUCUUUCCAUCUAAGGAAUUCUAAGGGUGGUGGAACUAUCGUCUUUGCGUUCCUCUUCUGUACAAGUGGUUUAUUUUGCACUUGUCUCAGACGCCUACUUUUGUGGAGAAUAAACAAUGUCUAAGGUGGUCUCAGAGACUUAUGUUUCUCACUAAUGAUGAUAUAGUUUGGUAUGAUUCUUCAUUGGGUAGCUUGGAGAUUAUUGACAGUUGUGGUGAAUUCUCUAAUGUACUUCUCAUUGGUACACAAGGAGGAAUCAACUAUAACUCUACUUUGGCUCGUCGUCAACUUGGAUUCCCCUUCAGAGAUAAACCUAAUAACACUUUGUUAGAAGGUCUUUUCUAUCAAGAGGGUAAAGAUCCCCAUCGUUUGAAGCAGAAUAUUAUGCAUGCUUGGCAUAAUGUGCAUAAGAAAGGAAGAUCCGAGCUUGGUCCGCGCAAUUGUGUAGCUUUGGAAGCUUACACUCUUUGGGUGAAGAAGAGAGCUUUGGAGUUGAAGAUGCCUUAUGCUUGUGAAAGACCUGUGUCUAUGGUUGUGGUUGAGCCAUUAACUCUCCCUAACCAAGAUGUAGUGGAGUUGGAAUACGCGCUCGCCAAGAUGAAGCAAGAGAAGGAUAGGUGGGAAGAUCGUUUCCAUGCUUUGAGUAGAAAGCAUGAGGAGUUGUAGCUUGAGUCUAAGGACAAAGAUGCACUUAUUGAGCUUCUUGAAGAUCGGGUAAUGAAGAGACAGAGAGAACUAGAGGGUCCAUCUUCCUCUAGUAUGUCUCAGCCUUCCAUCGCUUGGAAGAAGAUUGUUGAUCAACUUGUCCUUGAGAAGGCUCAGAUGAAGACUUCUUUUGAAUCCGAGAUUCGACGCAUUCGAAGGAAGUAAGCACCUACAGUUAGAUCUUCUAAUGUUGUUAUUAGGGAUCCUUAGAAUGACUAGUCUCCUUUUCUCUUGUAUUUUGUACUUUUGGAUUCUGAAAUUGUACUCAGUGUAAUCCUUCCAAUUAUAUAAAUAAAAGAGAUUUUUAUGGUCAAUCAAAUUGUUGCAAUCGUUUUUAUCAUAUAUAUUUGAAAAUAAUAUAGUAAGUUCCUUGGAAAAUAAAAACAAUCAAGCAUUGCAUUUCAUGCAUCAUUUGCAUACAGGUUUCUCUUCCGCCAGAUGUCUUAUUGGUAUUUCUUAUGUGCUUCAGCCAAGCUGACUCAUCGAUACAAUACUCGCGCAAAUCACUCAAGGAUCAUGGAACAUCUGGAGCAAGAGAACAGAGAUUUGAAGGACGAGAUCGCCCGCUUGACUGCCAUGAUGGAGUCAGUGUUAGCCGCUCAUAGCCAAUCUUCUCCAACACCUGCAACUCCUCCUCCUCAGAGGACUGUUAUUUCCGAGGUUGCUACCUCUAUCAUUCCUGCUACUGCUGCUCACUUUGCACCGGCCAUGUGUCGCAUCUCGAAAAAUACGAUUCCUCGCGAUGGUCGCGGAAAAAAUUAAUGUUCGAAUAGAGUUGCCAUCGAACUUAAUUUAUCCCAAUGAAGGGAUAGUAAAAUAUCGAUAAAACCUUUAGGAAAUGGAAUAAUGGUCGUCGCAACCAUAUUCGAGUUCGGGAGUGGAUUACGUAAGGGGAAGGUAUUAGCACCCCUUACGUCCGUUGUACUCAACGGGAACCUUUAAACCUUUAGGAAAUGGAAUAAUGGUCGUCGCAACCAUAUUCGAGUUCGGGAGUGGAUUACGUAAGGGGAAGGUAUUAGCACCCCUUACGUCCGUUGUACUCAACGGGAACCUUUUAGUUCUAAUGUGCGUUUCAUGUGUUAAUUUAUGUUUGUUUGUUAUUUUUGGGUUAUACAAUUGUAAAAAAUAGAAAUGGACGAGAACCUCAGAAAGGGAAAGGGGAGGUUUUUUAUUAGUGUGCUCGCGAAGGUACAACAAUCUCCUACCUACGUAUCCUUAUGGUAUAAUAAGGAAAUCAGAGCAUUCGUAGUUCGGGGAACUACGAUUGGUUGGUGUUUUUUAAUGAACAACUGUUUAGACUGCGUUUCUAAAGGCUAAACGUUGGCUUGUCUAGUCUCGGCGGAGGCUUAAGCACUAGUUUGCUGUGCGCAUUAGAAAGGAUUAACAAUGUUCUUUCUGAAAAUAGUUUUGGUCACAUGGGGGUGACAAGUUGGACUAAUAUGUUGGAUGUUUUGAUUGGUUGAGAUGUUUUUGGUUGAAUGACGAUUACUCUGAUAGUUGAGUAAGACAACUCGUAUCCUAACAGUCGGGAAAGGGAAUAGAAGACUCUAGACCACUUUCUUUUUCAUCCUUAAUUAUAGAAAGGAUUUGAUAAUAAUUAGGGUGUUUUGAGUGGAUGACGAAUACUCGGAUAAUCGAGUAAGACAACUCGUAUCCUAAUAAUCGGGAAAGGGAAUAGAAGACUCUAGACCGCUUUCUGUUUCAUUCUUAAUUAUAAAAAGGAUUUGAUAAUUGUAAGACCCCAAUUUUGACCCUAAGAUCCCUCAUGGCAUCAUUACAUUGCAUUUACAUUGCCUCAAGGAUCAUGAGCGUCUUGGUUCCCUUUGCCUUUGGGUGGGAUCUCUUGAGAUGUGGUUUGAGAUCACCAAGCAUGCUUGAAUUGUAUAUUAUUGCUUUCCUCAUUUCUUUUAUUAACUCAAAAGCACAAAAAUAUGUCACUAACAUCUUUUAUUUGUAGCUUGAGCAGUCACAAGGUCUAAAGCUUCUAGGAGAUCCUUUGUGCAAUGAUAUGGUCAAGAGAAGAUGAAAGCAAGCAUGGUAAUGGUUCCGAAAGCUCUCAUCCAUCAAAUAUGCCUCCCAAGUAUCUCAAUUCAUCAUUUUGAUCAAAGCAAGUCAAAGGGUUUGAGGUUUGUUUCCCAAGGAAACCUUAAUUCAUAUAUUCAUCAACUGUGCCUUGCUCUUGAAGAAACCUCAACCCAUGGUCAAAAAAAAAUCAAGGGAAGUUCUUUAAUUCAUCAUUUCAUGCAUUUUUGAACUUAUUUGAGUGUCCUCAAUCAUAAGUUCAUCAAGAUAUAAGUUUUGGACUUGAGAAGUUGAUCAGUCAAUUCAUCUGACCAUUUUGAAAUGCAUUGAGACCUAACUUUUUAUGUGUUAGUCCAAUGGAGAUGACCCCAAGAGAAAUAUUGUUAUUAAGGACAAUAUGAACAACUUUCAUGUUCAUCAAAAUUUAAUUUGAAGCUUGGAAGGUCAUCAUCCAUUCCAAGACAUUAUAGGUCAUUUUGACUGAAACCCUAAUUUUGGGUCAACUUCCCAAGGACCUAAGUCCUUCAUUUUUCAUGAUUUGGAGGUGGGAUCAAAUGAAUUGGAAAGCUUAAUGUUUGUAAUUCAAAUGUUAUGUUGAGAAAAAUUACAAAAUCCCAAAAGAAAUACAUGUGAUAAUGCAAAACAUUAUAGGUCACUUUGGGCCAACUGCAUUGAAAUGUGAAAAAGUCCAACUUCAAGUGCCCAUAACUUCAUCAAAAAUCCAAAUGAUGCAAAAUUUAAGUCCAAAUUUAUUUUCUUGAAAAUAUCUACAACUUUCAUGUUGAAGAUUGUAUUAUUUGGAGCUUGCAUCAUUGAGACAGAGGGGCUUGAACAUUGGCCAAUUUUGGAAAUUUCACAUAUGCAUGUUUUGCACCUUACACUUCAAGCUUAAUUUUCAUUAAUUUCCAAGGCCCAAUUGGAUUUUUGAUCAACAUAGCAUUUGUUCCUUAUGCAAUAAGCUUUCCAACCAUUACCCAUAAGCCUAUGUUUCAAUUUUGGAAGUAUUAUUUUCGAAGAGGAGAACUUUUUAGUGCAUUUUUGGAAACUUGAUUCAAUUGCCAUGCAUGAGCUCACACAACCUAAUUUGCACGUCCAUUUCAUUCAUUUAUGAUAUAAGCCUGCAAUUCCAAUCAGAAUUGGGCCCUCCAUGCGCCUGUACAGGCCCAUGCAUGAAGGCCCUCUUCUCCGAUGCACACUUUGUUCAUGCAUAUCAGUUGGCUUUGGCUAUAAAUACAUGGCAUGUGAGCUCUUAUUUCUUAACCUGAAGGCACCUGAACCUCUGCUGAACUCAAAACCUACCCUCACCAAAGGAACUUUUCUCUUUCUUUCAAAAAUAUCAGAUCUGAAAUUCAAUUGCAUCGAUUGAUUUUUAAGAUCCAUAGUUCCUAGACCUCUUCAGCUUGAUCCAUAGAAGCUUCUGUUUGCAAAAGAACUCAAAGAUAGUGACUCAAUUCAGCUCAAUUCCAAGGUUUUGCUCAACUGCAUUUUGCUUCAAAACAGCUCAUAUAUUGUUCCAUUUGCCUUGAUUUUGUGUGAUUUGAAGUCCUCUGCAUAGAGGCAUCAUUAUUGUGUUCUUAAUUUUUGAAAUCAAGCAAGUUCAGUUGAACACCACCAAAGUUCCAUCUCUGAUUUCUCUCUCAAUAGGGAUCUAGAGUGGAAUUGAGUAAUAGAGGCAUCAUUAUUGUGUUCUUAAUUUUUGAAAUCAAGCAAGUUCAGUUGAACACCACCAAAGUUCCAUCUCUGAUUUCUCUCUCAAUAGGGAUCUAGAGUGGAAUUGAGUGGCAUAGGAGUGACGUACAUCACUCCACCUUUCAUUUGGUACCUGGAUCGUGCGUUUUGGUGCACAUUUGUUCUUCUACAAAUUUGAGCUCUCACCGGAGCUAUCCGGAGAAGACGGUGGCGCUGACCCCUGUCUGGUCUCCAGAUCCAAUCGUGGUCGUCCAUUUUCAUUUCCAGAUUAGAUUUAGGUUGUCCGAUGUUAUGACCAUUUUUAAUUGUUUGUGUGGUUGCAUUGACUCACGUGUAUUAUGGAAGCGUGCUCAGAUCCGUCUGAUCUGCCAGGUCAAUUAAUGAACUGGAUCCAACGCCUCUCCUUUUUUCUUAUUUUUAAUUUCUGAUUUCUAUUUUCUUUUAUUUCUUUUAAUUCCAUUUUAUUUCUAAAAUCCAUAUCUCUUUCAUUAUUGGUCCAAAAAUUAUGGGACCAAUUGCAUUAUUUCUCUUUUAAUUUCUAGUUUCUAAAAAUGAUUUUUAAUAUUUUUUAUUUUGUCAUUUGCUAUUUUUUAAUAAUUUUCUCUUUUCUGGUUAUUUUUAAUUCAUUUUAAAUAGUUUUUCAGAUCCAAAAAAUACCAAAAUAUUUUCUCAACCUCUUUGAACGAUGAUAGAUCUAUGAAAAAUAUUUUCAUCAAUUUAUUAAUUGAUUUGAGAUUUAUUUGAGAUUUUAGUUCAAUUAGGUUAUUUUUAUGCAUUUUUAAUUGAUCAAAAAUAGUUUCUGACUUUUAUAAAUGUUGAAAUUUUUUGUCAAACUUUUUUUGACCUUGUUGAACUUAGGAUAAUUCACUUGGACUUUUCAAAGUUGAUUUGAAGUGAGUUUGAAGUUUGACCUUUCUUUAAUAUUUUAAUUCAAGUUUUAUUUUAAAUAUUAAAAAAUGCCAAAAAUAUUUUGUUUAUUUCUUGACUUCUAAUCUUCAUUUUGCUUCUGUUUUCUAUUGUUUGACCUUGAUCUUCUCUAUCUUUGGUCAUAGCUUGUUGAUUAUCUCAUUCCAUUUCAUUUAAUGCACUUUAAUUCUUCAUGUCUAUUCUUNAGAUUGUUGGCGAACACUUGCCUACGUACCUCUUAAACAAGAUUAGGAUCAAAACCGUCUGUAGUUGGCGUAAAAAUUCAAAAUUGAGUUGGUGAAUUGAUUUGGUCCGAAAGCACUUAAAGGUACUUUUUGUGUUGAUCCAAGGGAGAAAAACUCAAACCUAAAACACAACCCACCAUGUGCAGGAUUAGCUUAACAUGUUAUGAGGGGGUUUAACCCUAUACGAUAAGCAUGGAAGACACAUUGUCCAUCACUAAGGAUAUAGGUGAGUAUUACGAGUCCUAACCUCAAAGCAUAACUCAAGAGCCUGAAUACGCUAAAGGUUUAAAAGAUUUAAUUAAGAAAGUGGCCAUUGAAACCACAAAAGUAUUUGAAUGAUGGUAUUUACGCAAAUGAAUAAGAUAUUUGACAAAAUAUGGUCAAAGGUGAUUUAGAAGUUCAAUUCAAAAAUAAGUGUUAUGAAAAAAGUUUGGGAAAAUCAAAAAAAGCCAUAAGGCUUAGGUUUCCUAAAUGUUGAAAACAAGGUUAAAUGUUGCAAACAAAAGUUUUGGUUUGGGUUUAGAAGGGAGAAGAAGAAUGAAUGGCAAAGUCCUAAUCAUACAUGAAGAGACAAGGGAUAAGAAAACAAGACCAACAAAUGGAGUUCCCUCUCUUUGACGAUCGAUAUUGAUGAAAUCAAGUAGCUCCCAUCUUGGAAUAUGCAAGCAAAAAUUUAAUAGUCGCUCAAGCAAUCAACACAUCAAACAAGCUCCUUAGGCGAAUCCUCAAUGUAUCUGGUUGUAUCUUUCACUUGGAUGAACAUUGGCAAUGGUUCCUUUUAACUCUUGAGCUCUCAUAGGAUCCCCUAGCACAAAAAGCACACACAUCAAAAAGUUCUAUGAAAGUAAAUCAAGAAUGGAACAAGAGUGUUGAGUUUGGGUCCUUCUAGUCCAUCUCAACAUUAAAGGUCCUUGUUACUCCAAUUUGCCAUAGGAAAGUUCUAGAAACUAAGUCGCAUUUGUCCAUAUUCUUUGCAUUUGGUCCACAAACAAUCAAAACAAAAACACAAGCACAAUUAAUUAUACUACACAAUUACGUGUGCUCAAAGUGAGCAAGAAGCAAUUGCAUUAAACAUACAUGUGCUAAAUGAGCAGAAGGGAAAAGAAAUGAUAUAUGUAAGAUAUAGUUAAAUUGAUAAAGUAAGUGCAAGAGUAAAUGUUAAUGGUUAAUUGUUAGUGUUAGUAGUUCAGGUGUCAUAGGCAUUUAAGCGCUAUGUUAAGCAAAUCGUAAUGGAGUUAUUGUGAAGUCACACUAUCUGAGGCGGUUAAUAGUAUAUUUAUGGCAACACAACAAGGUUAGAGGUCUUGAUUGUGAAUCAACACUCUACAACUUGCCAUGGCGCAGAAAGAAGAUGAGAAUGAUCUUGUUUGGUUUAGGUCCUUUUGCAUGUUUUAGAAAGCAAUCUUCCGUUAAUGGAAAGCCAUUCACUUUGAUCAUGUGAUCAAGUGAUUAGAUUUGAAUUCAAGGAAGAUUAAAACCUCCCUAUCAAUGCUAACCAUCGAACCUUUAACUCAUUGAUAAAAAAAGAAAAGAAGAAGAGAAGAAGAUGAAGAAAGUGAAAGAUAGCAUGAAGAAUUAAAGUGCAGCUUAAAUGAUCUCUUGUAUGAUUAGGACUUUAGCCAUUCUUCUUCUUCCCUCCACUCUAACCCAAACCAAAACUUUUGUGCAAACAUUUAACACUUGUUUUCAAACAUUAGAAACCUAAGCCUUAUGCUUUUGAUUUCCAAACUUUCUUUUCAUAACACUUAUUUUGAAUUGAACUUCUAAAUCAACUUUGACCAUAUUUUGUAAAUACUUUUCAUUGGUAAAUACCAUUCAUUCAAAUACUUUUGUGGUUUCAAUGGCCACUUUCUUAAUUAAAUCUUUUAUAACCUUUAGCUAUUAGGUUUGAGUUAUGCUUGAGGUAGAUGUAAUACUCACCUAUAUCCUUAGUGAUGGACAAUGAGUCUUCCAUGCUUAUUAUAGGGUUAACCCCUCACUAACAUGUUGAAGCUAUCCUCACAUGGUGGGUUUGUGGUUUUAGGUUGAGUUUUCUCCCUUGGAUAACAAAAGACCUUAAGGCUUUUGGACCAAUCAAUUCACCAACUCAUUUUUUGAAAUUUUUACCCCAAACUACGAGGUUUUGAUCCUAAUCUUUUUUAAGAUGGUACGUAGGCAAUGGGUUUAUCCAUCCAAACACAAAAAUGUAAAUAACUUGCAUAUUCUCUUCUCAUCUCUUCAAUCAUGUUUGCACAAACAAAUUUUCACAAAAUACCAACCUUACAACAAGUGUGAAAAGGGCUCCCUAGGAGUACCUAGGAUGUUUUGGGUGCUUAAAACCUUCCCAUUGCAUAACCAACCCCCUUACCCCGAUCUCUGACAUUUUUACUAGUUUUUAAUUCGAUAAAAUUUUUAGGUUUUUAUUCGCUUUCUAACCAUUCCUUUGAAUAAAUAGAAGUGCGGUGGCGACUCGACUUGUAUGGUUUACCUUAGAUUUAGUCAAUAUCUCUAAUGGUAACGAAUACCCCACUACAAUAAUAAUUAAGGUGUUUUGAAUGGAUGACGAUUACUCGGAUAAUCGAGUAAGACAACUCGUAUCCUAAUGGUCGGAAAAGGGAAUAGAAAACUCUAGACCACUUUCUCUUUCAUCUGAGUGGUUAUGAAAAUAAGUUUACGUAUGGUUGAUGUAUUUUUAGAAUAGACGACAAGUACUUGAAUGGUUGAGUAAGACAACUCAUAUCCAAGCAUUUGAGGAGAGGAAUCUAAGGCUCAAGACCAUCUCCCUUUUCGUAUAGUUUGUUAUGAAAAUGAUUUGAUUAAGUUGUAUGUUUGUGGAAAAAUGACAAUUGCUCGACUGGCCGAGUAAGAGAACUCGUAUUCAAGCAAUUGAGGAGAAAAGUUGAAAACUCAAAGUCAUCUCCCUUUUCAUUUCUUAUUAUGAAAAUAAUUUGAUUUAGUCGGGUUUGGAAGUUUGUAGAGGAACGACAAUUAUUUGACUAACCAAGUAAGAGAACUCGUAUUCAAAUAAUCGAGGAGAAAAAUUGAAGACUCAAAGUCAUCUCCCUUUUCCUUUCUUAUUAUAAAAGAGUUUGAUUUAUUUGUUCUUAAGUGGGUGGAAGUGACGACUAUUUGACUAACCGAAUAAGAGAACUCGUAUUCAAAUAAUCGAGGAGAGGAAUUGAAAACUCAAAGCCACCCCCCUUUUCAUUUCCAAAUGAAAUGUUGUUUGAUUGUGAUUGGAUACGUUCUUUUAAUUUUUAAUGAAAAUACUCGACAUUGGAUUGAGGUUUUGAUUUUGUGUUUAUGAAUGAAAUGAAUUUUAUUUUAGUGUAUUAUUCUUCUACUCGAUUAAUUAAUAACUGGAUAGGUCUCAUUGUAAGAAAGCCCAAGAGUAAGCUAUGUGAGGUUGAUGGCGAUACUUUUACAAGUAAUCGACUUACAAAGGCGUUUUGAAAAUGGGCUCGACUUUGAAUCGAGAAGUAUGUGUUUUAUUUUUUUGAAAUUGGCUCGAAUGAUUUUAAAUUGGUGAUAACGACAUAAUCUCGUCAUAAUUAUAACAUGUCAUCCAUAUGCACUCGAGACUCGGUAUAAAUAAAUAAAUACAAAAUAAUCAUGCACAUACACUCCACAAAAAUCAACAAUUAUCUAAAUUAUAAGUGAUAUUAAUAAUAAUAUAAUUAAUUAAUUAAAUAUUUAGUAGAUUAUUUUGAUUAAAUAAUAAGUAAUUAAAAAAAUGAUGAUAUAACCAAAUAAUUGCAUAUUUAUCAUUAAAUAUUAAUAAUAGUAAUAACAAUAUAAUUGUGUAUUUACUAUUAAGUACUAAUAAUAAUAAUGAUAAUAAUAAUAAUAAUAUAUAAUUAUAACUUUGAAAGAAAGUAAAUAAAAUAAAAUAAAUGAAAUUAAAGUAAAAAAAUAUUUAAAUUUUGUAAAAUAAUUAAACAACUAUCAUUAGGAAUUAAACUAUUAUAUAUAUAUAUAUAUAUAUAUAUAUAUAUAUAUAUAUAUAUAUAUAUUAUAAGUAUAUAUGUAAAAAAUAUAAAUAAAAAAGAAAGAAUAAGUCAAAAAAUAAAGAAAAUGGGCUAGUGGUGGUGAAAAAUUAAUAAAAUAAUUUAAUCAAAUUAAAUCAAAGAUACCGAUGAAUUAAUUUAAAUAAAAUAGGGUCUACUUAGGAUAUUUAAGUAAUUUAGAUUAACAAAAAUAAUUCAGGAUAAUGAGUCAUUAAAUUAAAAAAAUUAGUAAAUUGAAUUGUUAGUUAACUAAUUGAAGCUAAUUGUUAGCUAACAUGAUUAUCUUUUAAAUCCUCCACACAGUAAAACAGAAGAAAAAGAAAUGGGCUAAAACCGAAUUUAAUGAAAAAUAGGAAUAAACAAAUGUGCUUUUUUUGACUGAACAUAUGCUAUAUUCUAAUAUGCAAUGUCACCUAGUAUUCAAAGUUAAUUUAUUGUUUUUUAUUAAUGAUGCAUUGAAUAAAAUAACAAAUAGGGGUGGCUGUCAGCAUAGCCCACACGGUAUCCCCAAGAAAAAUCAAUUACUCACCAUAAGAACCUUCCAUAUACUAACAUAUGACACCUAAUGAUGUUUAAAGAGAAAUAAACAAUAAUAAAUGAAAAUUAAAGUAAUGCUUGGAUAUUUUAAAAAACGUAAGGACGAAAAACGUUCCUUCACAAAACCAAUGCACCUCUUUCUUAAUCUAACACCCUUUCCUCCUAUCCAUUUCUUCUCUCCAAAAGGGUUUAUGAAAAAAAAGUUCAGUUCACCAUCAAGUUUAUCGCACAACAAAAAUAUUCAAACACAAAGAUCUACCUCAAACGAUACAAAACCCCAAAUCUCAAAAUUAGCAACGAAAUUUUGCAAACAAAAGUUUAUCGCACAACAAAAAUAUUCAAACACAAAGAUCUACCUCAAACGAUACAAAACCCCAAAUCUCAAAAUUAGCAACGAAAUUUUGCAAACAACCUCCAAAAGACCCAAAUCGUGACUUUACAAAAAAAAAACUAAAAAUUGAAACAAAUCGAACCAUCAUCAUCAAUAAAUUCAAGCAAUCUAAAGGAGGCUCCUACUCAGUUAAUCACGACAAACAUGCAGGCACAAUCAAUUUGGAUCCAAACAUGAAGAAAUUUACCUGACCGAAGCUAGUUCAACGAAGUUCUCUCCGGCAACCCUCAGAUAACUCUAUUUCCUCUUCUUUUCGGUUUUACGAUGGCCUCCUCCUUCUGUUUUGAUGUUGUGUUAUCCUUUAAUGUUAGGGUUUUUUGUGUUUUUUACAAAAUAUUUUUUGAUUUGUUCUGCUCGGAUCCUCAAAAACGUGUGUUCUGUUUCUUUUGAGUUAACAAAGAAAAGAUUACUUUGACAAUUUCUUCUGGAUUUUAUUAAAACGUGUUACUGUUAAUUAGUUUUGUGGUUUAUAUACAUGAAUGUUGGUUUAUGUGAUAUAACUUGUUGGAUCCUAUUUCCAGAUUUUGUGGUAUGAUUAAUCUAUGGAUUUAAAGUUGUUUAUUUGGAUAAUGCAGUGUGUUUCUGAGCGCUUCCUUUGAUUCAUUGUGUAACAUAUUAAUUUGCUCUUUCUAUUAAUUAUUUUCCAGGUUUUUAAGUGCUUAUUUGAUAAGAUGUUUUUAAUUUUGAAUUGGUUUUGCAGGUUAAGUGAUAUUGAUGCUGAUUGAUUGAAAAAGGGGCGCUGUUAUUCAACAGGUUUUGGAAAAGUUCUGAAGAGUUGCUUUUGAAUUGGGAACUUCCAAAAGAGCUUUUGGAAAAGUCUGUGAAAUUUGCUUCAAACUGCUGUGUUUACAGCUUAUUCCAAUUUUUUUAAUAAAAUUAUUUCUGAUGUAACAGAGACUUUUUGGAUUAUGAACUUAGGGACUGCUUGUAACAUGUACAAAUUUAAUUUGGAAUUUCUCUUUUUGGACAAUUAUGUAAUUGUUUUGGAUUAUUAGGAAUUUGGGAUUAGUUAGGAUAUAUUAAACUGUAAGAAAAAUUGGGUUAGACGUGUAACCCUUUGGAUCAUUUGCAAAAUUUACAUAAUUUUAAUUUAAGUUUUUUUGUUAUUUAUGUGGAUACUUUUGGGUUAUUAUGUAACAUUUGGAUUAAAUAGGAAUAUGAUUUGGGAAUAUUAUUUGUGUAAUUAGUCUCUCUUUCUUUUUUUUUUAAAGAAAAAUUAAACUUUGUCUUAAC
This 21725-nucleotide long non-coding RNA is filed under the name Lathyrus oleraceus (garden pea). Its description in RNAcentral is "Pisum sativum (pea) long non-coding RNA (PSAT_LNC041886)". Lineage: Eukaryota; Viridiplantae; Streptophyta; Magnoliopsida; Fabales; Fabaceae. The record is from RNAcentral.